Molecule: ribosomal RNA, 519 nt
Filed under: uncultured bacterium
Lineage: Bacteria
Description: bacterial SSU rRNA
Rfam family: Bacterial small subunit ribosomal RNA
Source: RNAcentral
AGAGUUUGAUUAUGGCUCAGGAUGAACGCUAGCGACAGGCUUAACACAUGCAAGUCGAGGGGCAGCAUAAAAGUAGCAAUACGUUGGUGGCGACCGGCGCACGGGUGAGUAACGCGUAUGCAACCUACCUAUCAGGAGGGGAAUAACCCGGCGAAAGUCGGACUAAUACCGCAUAAAACAGGGGCACCGCAUGGUGAUAUUUGUUAAAGAAAUUCGCUGAUAGAUGGGCAUGCGUUCCAUUAGGUAGUUGGUGAGGUAACGGCUCACCAAGCCGACGAUGGAUAGGGGAACUGAGAGGUUGGUCCCCCACACUGGUACUGAGACACGGACCAGACUCCUACGGGAGGCAGCAGUGAGGAAUAUUGGUCAAUGGGCGAGAGCCUGAACCAGCCAAGUCGCGUGAAGGAAGAAGGAUCUAUGGUUCGUAAACUUCUUUUGCAGGGGAAUAAAGUGCAGGACGUGUCCUGUUUUGUAUGUACCCUGAGAAUAAGGAUCGGCUAACUCCGUGCCAGCCGCGGC